This is a long non-coding RNA of Vidua macroura (Pin-tailed whydah), 1164 nucleotides long. RefSeq lists it as uncharacterized. The record is from RefSeq and is a predicted model, not a curated record. The transcript has 2 exons. NCBI's taxonomy places the organism in Eukaryota, Metazoa, Chordata, Aves, Passeriformes, Viduidae.
CGUGCUACCACAGCCCUCAUGGGACUACUGCAGCAGGGCAGGAUGCUGUACGUGACCUGGCAGAGCCCCUCCCACGCCUGUUCCCACGCACACAGACCCCUUGCCCAUCCCACUGCAGGCAGGGCACUGGGUAAAGCCCAUUAACCAAAUCUCAGGAAUGCUCAGAAGCAAAUCUGUGACUCUGCUGACAUCCAGAAUAACCCUGCACAAACCAACUUGAAUUGACAAAUUCCAGAAACCCCACAGCUGAGGGAAGAUUUGUGUCCACAUCCUUGUGAAAGGGCAGAAAGGUAUUUGUAGUGAAAAGGAAGAUAUAUGAGUCAUAAGACAAAGACUUUUAUACUGCGGAUUUCUUGAUUCAAUCUGAGCUUCAUCAAACCACCAUCAACUGCAGGCAAAACACGAUAAAACUAAGUAGAAUAAACUUGAGAAUAUUAUGAUUUAGUAAAAAAUGCAGUAUAUUACCAUUUUCUAUUCUUUUUGCAAAGCUUCAUAAGGAUGUUCCUAACUUCUCCCCUGGUAGUGAAGAUACUUGGAGCCAUGCAGGAAAUAGUUUGUAAAUUAUUUCCGGUUUGAGACACAAAAGCUGAGGUUUGUUGUUCCCUGCAGGGAGGCUGUAGCACUGGCACCAAAUCUCUACCAUUACCUUUCCUAAUGUCCGGGCUUGUAAGAUAAGCAUAUAUUCUAUUUGCCAUCUGUUGGGCCAUCUUAUCUUUUCCAAGAACAAUGUCUCCCUCUGGGGAGAUAUCUUCUGUUAAUGUGCCAUUGAAUGGCUCACUGCAUGACUGAGAAAGUUACAUCAUCCCAUUGUAAGAUGCUCCACCCAGAGGGAGGAGCCAAGCAUCCCUACCUGCAUAAAAUCAGCAUUUCUUAAGACAGCAACUCAGCCUAUUCACUGGAUUCCCAGAGGAAGACCAGGCCCAUCUACUCUAUCACCAGACCUUCAGAGAAAACUACACCCUUCUACUGGAUCAUCACUUCAGCAGCAUUUCAUCUGCCACUCCAGAGCAGGAGGAGCAGCCACCAUUUAACUGGACUAUCACUAACACCGUGACUCCUCAGGGUGUCAGGUUUCUGACUCUAUCAGUAGUUUUGUUUGUACUAAUUACAUUUUUUUAAAUUUAGUUUUUUUCCUAGUAAAGAACUGUUAUUCCCAUUCCCAUA